RNAcentral lists this ribosomal RNA (253 nucleotides) under uncultured bacterium. RNAcentral describes it as "partial 16S ribosomal RNA". It matches the Rfam family "Bacterial small subunit ribosomal RNA", at positions 524 to 776 of the family's 1533-position model. The record is from RNAcentral.
UACGUAGGGGGCAAGCGUUGUCCGGAUUUAUUGGGCGUAAAGAGCGUGUAGGCGGCUUUACAGGUCCGUUGUGAAAGCCCGAGGCUCAACCUCGGAACUGCCUUCGAUACUGCGGGUCUCGAGUCCGGGAGAGGUGAGUGGAAUUCCUAGUGUAGAGGUGAAAUUCGUAGAUAUUAGGAAGAACACCAGUGGCGAAGGCGGCUCACUGGCCCGGUACUGACGCUGAGGCGCGAAAGCGUGGGGAGCAAACAGG